GGGGUUAUACAGUCUCAAGCUAAAAGGAGUCAAGUCUACAACAUAAAGAUCAAAAGCUAAUAAAACUCUGGCCUAAAUACAAGAGAACCCUAUUCUAUUUGGGCAACCUAAAAGAAACCAAAGCAGACCCAGAUCUUUUUGUUGCAAUGUGGCAGAGGAGGAAAUGCAAACCAAGAAAAGCUCAGGGGCAAAGCUCUUCAACCCAAAGGACAAGAAACAAUACUGAGGCCUAAAGGAGUCCUAGGAGAGCCAUAACUCAGUCAUAUUCCCCACAAAAUAAUAGAUUGAGACAAGAAAGAUUUUGAGUAGUAGACCAUACAACUCAGAAAAUGUAUUGCAGGCUAAGCAAGCAGCUCACAGAGGGUGAAGAGGCAAAGCUCUAAACGGCAACAUGCCUUGGAGGUCGACCACGAGGGCAAAGCCGGUUAAAGGCCCCUAAGAUGCCAUCCUCCCUUAAAACUAUUACUCCUCCUAGAGCUAGAUAGAGCACAAAUGGAGACCAUCCAUCCGGACAAGGAGGCUGAUGCACAUGCACGAGUAGGGUGCACCA
This 550-nucleotide unclassified non-coding RNA is filed under the name Hevea brasiliensis (rubber tree). Lineage: Eukaryota; Viridiplantae; Streptophyta; Magnoliopsida; Malpighiales; Euphorbiaceae. The record is from RNAcentral.